UACGUAGGGUGCAAGCGUUAAUCGGAAUUACUGGGCGUAAAGCGUGCGCAGGCGGUUUUGUAAGUCAGAUGUGAAAUGCCCGGGCUUAACCUGGGAACUGCAUUUGUGACUGCAUGGCUAGAGUUUGGCAGAGGGGGGUAGAAUUCCACGUGUAGCAGUGAAAUGCGUAGAUAUGUGGAGGAACACCGAUGGCGAAGGCAGCCCCCUGGGUCAAGACUGACGCUCAUGCACGAAAGCGUGGGGAGCAAACAGG
Molecule: ribosomal RNA, 253 nt
Filed under: uncultured bacterium
Lineage: Bacteria
Description: partial 16S ribosomal RNA
Rfam family: Bacterial small subunit ribosomal RNA
Source: RNAcentral